Molecule: ribosomal RNA, 318 nt
Filed under: uncultured soil bacterium
Lineage: Bacteria
Description: bacterial SSU rRNA
Rfam family: Bacterial small subunit ribosomal RNA
Source: RNAcentral
AGAGCGAACGCUAGCGGGAUGCUUUACACAUGCAAGUCGAACGGCAGCGCGGACUUCGGUCUGGCGGCGAGUGGCGAACGGGUGAGUAAUAUAUCGGAACGUGCCCAGUAGCGGGGGAUAACUACGCGAAAGCGUGGCUAAUACCGCAUACGCCCUACGGGGGAAAGGGGGGAUUCUUCGGAACCUCUCACUAUUGGAGCGGCCGAUAUCAGAUUAGCUAGUUGGUGAGGUAAAGGCUCACCAAGGCGACGAUCUGUAGCUGGUUUGAGAGGACGACCAGCCACACUGGGACUGAGACACGGCCCAGACCUCGGACGG